Molecule: non-coding RNA, 21 nt
Filed under: Caenorhabditis elegans
Lineage: Eukaryota; Metazoa; Nematoda; Chromadorea; Rhabditida; Rhabditidae
Source: RNAcentral
UUUCCGCGUGAAAUAAUUGUU